RNAcentral lists this ribosomal RNA (349 nucleotides) under uncultured Clostridium sp. RNAcentral's name for it is "bacterial SSU rRNA". It matches the Rfam family "Bacterial small subunit ribosomal RNA", at positions 1037 to 1388 of the family's 1533-position model. The record is from RNAcentral. Lineage: Bacteria; Bacillati; Bacillota; Clostridia; Eubacteriales; Clostridiaceae.
GGUGGUGCAUGGUUGUCGUCAGCUCGUGUCGUGAGAUGUUAGGUUAAGUCCUGCAACGAGCGCAACCCUUGUUAUUAGUUGCUACCAUUAAGUUGAGCACUCUAAUGAGACUGCCUGGGUAACCAGGAGGAAGGUGGGGAUGACGUCAAAUCAUCAUGCCCCUUAUGUCCAGGGCUACACACGUGCUACAAUGGUAGGUACAAUAAGACGCAAGACCGUGAGGUGGAGCAAAACUUAUAAAACCUAUCUCAGUUCGGAUUGUAGGCUGCAACUCGCCUACAUGAAGCUGGAGUUGCUAGUAAUCGCGAAUCAGAAUGUCGCGGUGAAUACGUUCCCGGGCCUUGUACAC